Molecule: long non-coding RNA, 834 nt
Filed under: Strongylocentrotus purpuratus (purple sea urchin)
Lineage: Eukaryota; Metazoa; Echinodermata; Echinoidea; Camarodonta; Strongylocentrotidae
Description: uncharacterized LOC115925945
Source: RNAcentral
AAAAUCUAACUUGUUCAUUUUUAUGAAACUGACUUGAAACACCAAAAUAUAUAUGUGGGACUGAUUUUUCGAUCUUUUCAUAUAUUUUUGUCUAUUUCACUUGUUAAAUUGCUGAGUUAUACUGUCAGGCUGACUUACCAUUAUUCUAAAUGUCUGUACUCUCGGAAUAAGGCUCUUACUUUAUUUUGAUCAAUAUAUUUCUCUUUGUAUAAAGGUUACAAAUUAUUUGAUGUAAUCGCACUUACUUUGAAAUAGUUAUUGCGAAGAUUUAUGAAUAUUCAUGUGCGUACAUAUUCGCGUGGUUAAAGCAUACGCGCAUAGCGCAUGGUAGUGCGCUGAUAUGUGAUAGCCGAGUUUGAUCGAUGUGGCUAGGCUGUACACUUUGGCAUUAGAUGCGCUGUGAAACUGACCUGUCUGUGAACCUUGUUGAACCGAGAUUUACGACUAUAGACCAUAUCUGCUGUGUGACCUAAUACAUUACUAGUAAUAUGAAUUUCUGGAGGACGAGGCUGAGGGCCUCAGUAACUUAGUCUGUCACCUGUACCUAGUAGUUUAAGAAUAUAUCUAUCUACAUGUAAAGCAGUUGUAACUUAUAUAUAUUGAACAUUUGUAUAUUUAAUAAUUGUAUUCUAUAUAGUUGUACUUUAAAUAUAUUCGUCAUAUUUAUGAACAAAGUAAAUACGAUCUGAUGCUAUUACUUGCAUAAGAUUUAGUCACUUGUAAAUAGAUUCACAAUUCAACAAUUAAUGAUGUACAAAUUAAUAUAAGUAGCUUAUGUAUUUAUGGAGCUGUAACUUACAUGUAUAUUUUAUCUUAGUAACACUUAUUGAUAAU